Molecule: long non-coding RNA, 166 nt
Organism: Vanessa atalanta (red admiral)
Lineage: Eukaryota; Metazoa; Arthropoda; Insecta; Lepidoptera; Nymphalidae
Exons: 3
Source: RefSeq, a predicted model, not a curated record
GUGACCAUGUCGUCCCGUGUGCUGUCAUGGCUCCCACACUUCGCUCUCUUGCUGCCUGUCCUGUUGAUGUUAUGUUCCUGCGUAAACGGUCAAACUGACGGCACAUCGAUCGUGGCAGCUCUCAUCAUCAACAAGAUCGAGAGGUGUAUCGACAAAUUGAACGCCA